UGUAUUAAAAUGAUAAAUGAAAAAGAGACUCAAUAUUGAAACCUAAUAUUACCUCAUGAUAUGCUGAUGUAC
Octodon degus (degu) is the source of this 72-nucleotide small nucleolar RNA. RefSeq annotates it as small nucleolar RNA SNORD82. The transcript has a single exon. The record is from RefSeq and is a predicted model, not a curated record. NCBI's taxonomy places the organism in Eukaryota, Metazoa, Chordata, Mammalia, Rodentia, Octodontidae.